This 72-nucleotide transfer RNA is filed under the name Nicoliella spurrieriana. It matches the Rfam family "tRNA". Rfam says of the family: Transfer RNA (tRNA) molecules are approximately 80 nucleotides in length. Their secondary structure includes four short double-helical elements and three loops (D, anti-codon, and T loops). Further hydrogen bonds mediate the characteristic L-shaped molecular structure. tRNAs have two regions of fundamental functional importance: the anti-codon, which is responsible for specific mRNA codon recognition, and the 3' end, to which the tRNAs corresponding amino acid is attached (by aminoacyl-tRNA synthetases). tRNAs cope with the degeneracy of the genetic code in two manners: having more than one tRNA (with a specific anti-codon) for a particular amino acid; and 'wobble' base-pairing, i.e. permitting non-standard base-pairing at the 3rd anti-codon position. Lineage: Bacteria; Bacillati; Bacillota; Bacilli; Lactobacillales; Lactobacillaceae. The record is from Rfam by way of RNAcentral.
UGCCCCGUAGUUCAAUGGUAGAAUGCCGCACUGUUAAUGCGUAGGUUGUUGGUUCGAGUCCAACCGGGGCAG